Molecule: unclassified non-coding RNA, 216 nt
Filed under: uncultured fungus
Lineage: Eukaryota; Fungi
Description: sequence contains ITS1
Source: RNAcentral
UUUUUCUAUUAAAUGUUUUCUCAGACGAUAAUAAUUAAACGAGUUUAGGUGGACUCUGGCGGACUCUCGCCAGCCAAGGCCGGCGGCGGGUAGGACCCGCGGGUCCGCCAAAGCAACGAUGGUAAGGUUCACAAUGGGUGGGAGAUGAGGUCCGGCUCUUGGUAGAAGGGGACUCGAUUCUCUCUAAUGAUCCUUCCGCAGGUUCACCUACGGAAA